Non-coding RNA from Stygiomarasmius scandens, 87 nucleotides. NCBI's taxonomy places the organism in Eukaryota, Fungi, Basidiomycota, Agaricomycetes, Agaricales, Campanellaceae. The record is from the annotation of a GenBank genome assembly.
GGGCACAUGGUGUAGUUGGUUAUCACAUCCGCUUAGCAUCAAACUGAGGCCUGCGGGGGGUGCUGGGUUCAAUUCCCAGUGUGUCCA